Paramuricea clavata is the source of this 405-nucleotide non-coding RNA. The record is from the annotation of a GenBank genome assembly. Lineage: Eukaryota; Metazoa; Cnidaria; Anthozoa; Malacalcyonacea; Plexauridae.
CUCAGAUCGGUACAUCUGUAUAAGUUACCUUUUCGGCAGUACAAAUAUCGAUUUGUCCCUCGUCUUCAAAAGGCCAAUUUUCGAAGCUAGUUUGACGAUUUUUUUCCAAACUCAUUUUGGCAAGUUCAGGAUUGUCAAGUCUCAUGUCCACCAUUUUGAAUUUUUGCCAAAUUACCGCCAAAAUCGUUGUUGUUGUACCGGUUUCAAUUUUCCAAGCGCCUCCUUUGAAAUCUAAAGUAUUCCGUCUUUAUUCGUUAGGAGCUUUAUAGGACAACAAUUAAAAAUGAUUUGCAAAAGCCAAAAUUUCACUUGUUUUCAAAUGUUUUUGCGUUUUUGAAUUACAGCCUGUUCGCAGGUUGUGGUAAAUAUGAUACCGUCGUUUGCAUCCAACGAUGAACAGUCACA